CGGCGAGUGAAGCGGCAACAGCUCACAUUUGAAAUCUGGCGCAAGCCCGAGUUGUAAUUUGUAGAGGAUGUUUCUGGCGACGCGCCUUCCGAGUUCCCUGGAACGGGACGCCAUAGAGGGUGAGAGCCCCGUACGGUUGGAUGCCUAGCCUCUGUGAAACUCCUUCGACGAGUCGAGUAGUUUGGGAAUGCUGCUCUAAAUGGGAGGUAUACGUCUUCUAAAGCUAAAUACCGGCCAGAGACCGAUAGCGCACAAGUAGAGUGAUCGAAAGAUGAAAAGCACUUUGAAAAGAGGGUUAAAAAGUACGUGAAAUUGUUGAAAGGGAAGCGUUCAUGACCAGACUUGGGCAGGUUGAUCAUCCGUGGUUCUCCGCGGUGCACUCUGCCUGCCCAGGCCAGCAUCAGUUCGCUCCGGGGGAUAAAGGCUCUGGGAAUGUGGCUCCUUCGGGAGUGUUAUAGCCCACUGCGUAAUACCCUGGGGUGGACUGAGGUUCGCGCUCUGCAAGGAUGCUGGCGUAAUGGUCAUCAACGACCCGUCUUGAAACACGGACCAAGGAGUCGUCUUCGUAUGCGAGUGUUCGGGUGUCAAACCCCUACGCGUAAUGAAAGUGAACGUAGGAGAGAGCUUCGGCGCAUCUCCGACCGAUCCUGAUGUUCUCGGAUG
Molecule: ribosomal RNA, 663 nt
Filed under: fungal sp.
Lineage: Eukaryota; Fungi
Description: partial large subunit ribosomal RNA
Rfam family: Eukaryotic large subunit ribosomal RNA
Source: RNAcentral